RNAcentral lists this transfer RNA (75 nucleotides) under Clostridium gelidum. Its description in RNAcentral is "tRNA-Gln". It matches the Rfam family "tRNA". Rfam says of the family: Transfer RNA (tRNA) molecules are approximately 80 nucleotides in length. Their secondary structure includes four short double-helical elements and three loops (D, anti-codon, and T loops). Further hydrogen bonds mediate the characteristic L-shaped molecular structure. tRNAs have two regions of fundamental functional importance: the anti-codon, which is responsible for specific mRNA codon recognition, and the 3' end, to which the tRNAs corresponding amino acid is attached (by aminoacyl-tRNA synthetases). tRNAs cope with the degeneracy of the genetic code in two manners: having more than one tRNA (with a specific anti-codon) for a particular amino acid; and 'wobble' base-pairing, i.e. permitting non-standard base-pairing at the 3rd anti-codon position. Lineage: Bacteria; Bacillati; Bacillota; Clostridia; Eubacteriales; Clostridiaceae. The record is from RNAcentral.
UGCCGAGUAGUUCAAUGGUGGAACGGCAGACUCUGACUCUGCAGGUUAUAAGUUCGAGUCUUAUCUCGGUAACCA